This 460-nucleotide ribosomal RNA is filed under the name uncultured bacterium. RNAcentral describes it as "partial 16S ribosomal RNA". It matches the Rfam family "Bacterial small subunit ribosomal RNA", at positions 338 to 795 of the family's 1533-position model. The record is from RNAcentral.
CCUACGGGAGGCAGCAGUGAGGAAUAUUGGUCAAUGGGCGGAAGCCUGAACCAGCCAAGUAGCGUGCAGGAUGACGGCCCUACGGGUUGUAAACUGCUUUUAUACGGGAAUAACGCGCCUUACGUGUAGGGCUUUGCAUGUACCGUAUGAAUAAGGACCGGCUAAUUCCGUGCCAGCAGCCGCGGUAAUACGGAGGAUCCGGGCGUUAUCCGGAUUUAUUGGGUUUAACGGGGGCGUAGGCCGCAGGUCAAGUUUGCUGUGAAAUUUCCGGGCUCAACCCGGGCCUUGCAUCGCGAACUGGUGGGCUUGAGUGUGCGGACAGCAGGCGGAAUGCGUCGUGUAGCGGUGAAAUGCUUAGAUAUGACGAAGAACCCCGAUUGCGAAGGCAGCUUGCUGCAGCGGAACUGACGCUGAUGCUCGAAAGCGUGGGUAUCGAACAGGAUUAGAUACCCUUGUAGUC